ACGAACGCUGGCGGCAUGCCUAACACAUGCAAGUCGAACGAGACCUUCGGGUCUAGUGGCGCACGGGUGCGUAACGCGUGGGAAUCUGCCCUUAGGUUCGGAAUAACAGUUAGAAAUGACUGCUAAUACCGGAUGAUGACUUCGGUCCAAAGAUUUAUCGCCUAAGGAUGAGCCCGCGUAGGAUUAGCUUGUUGGUGAGGUAAAGGCUCACCAAGGCUACGAUCCUUAGCUGGUCUGAGAGGAUGAUCAGCCACACUGGGACUGAGACACGGCCCAGACUCCUACGGGAGGCAGCAGUGGGGAAUAUUGGACAAUGGGCGAAAGCCUGAUCCAGCAAUGCCGCGUGAGUGAUGAAGGCCUUAGGGUUGUAAAGCUCUUUUACCCGGGAUGAUAAUGACAGUACCGGGAGAAUAAGCUCCGGCUAACUCCGU
RNAcentral lists this ribosomal RNA (431 nucleotides) under uncultured bacterium. RNAcentral describes it as "bacterial SSU rRNA". It matches the Rfam family "Bacterial small subunit ribosomal RNA", at positions 29 to 506 of the family's 1533-position model. The record is from RNAcentral.